This 501-nucleotide ribosomal RNA is filed under the name uncultured bacterium. Its description in RNAcentral is "bacterial SSU rRNA". It matches the Rfam family "Bacterial small subunit ribosomal RNA", at positions 1023 to 1529 of the family's 1533-position model. The record is from RNAcentral.
GGGGCUCACAUACUGGUGGUGCAUGGUCGUCGUCAGCUUGGGUGUUGAGAUGUUGGGUUAAGUCCCGCAAGGAGCGCAACCCUUAUUAUUAGUUCCUUCGCAAGAGCACUCUAAUGAGACUACCGUUGACAAAACGGAGGAAGGUGGGGAGGACGUCAAAUCAUCAUGCCCCUUAUGACCUGGUCCACACACUUAUUGCAAUGGCACUGAAACAGAGGGAAGUGACAUCGAGAGGUGAAGCGAAUCCCAAAAAAGUGUCCCAGUUCGGAUUGCAGGCUGCAACUCGCAUGCAUGAAGUCGGAAUUGCUAGUAAUCGCGGAUCAGCAUUCCCCGGUGAAUACGUUCCCGGGCCUUGUUCACACCGCCCGUCACACCAUGGGAGUCGGUAACACCCGAAGCCAGUAGCCUAACCGCAAGGAGGGCGCUGUCGAAGGUGGGAUUGAUGACUGGGGUGAAGUCGUAACAAGGUAGCCGUAUCGGAAGGUGCGGCUGGAUCACCUC